UACGUAGGCGGAAAAUUAAGUCAGUAGUGAAAUCCGGCAGCUUAACUGUAGAACUGUUAUUGAUACUGGUUUUCUUGAAUAUAGUUGAGGUAGGCGGAAUGUGUAAUGUAGCGGUGAAAUGCUUAGAUAUUACACAGAACACCGAUUGCGACGGCAGCUUACUAAGCUAUGAUUGACGCUGAGGUACGAAAGCGUGGGGAGCGAACAGGAUUAGAUACCCUGGUAGUCC
Molecule: ribosomal RNA, 229 nt
Filed under: uncultured bacterium
Lineage: Bacteria
Description: partial 16S ribosomal RNA
Rfam family: Bacterial small subunit ribosomal RNA
Source: RNAcentral